RNAcentral lists this ribosomal RNA (1369 nucleotides) under uncultured bacterium. Its description in RNAcentral is "bacterial SSU rRNA". It matches the Rfam family "Bacterial small subunit ribosomal RNA", at positions 28 to 1381 of the family's 1533-position model. The record is from RNAcentral.
GACGAACGCUGGCUUCGUGCCUAAUACAUGCAAGUAGAACGCUGAAGAGAGGAGCUUGCUCUUCUUGGAUGAGUUGCGAACGGGUGAGUAACGCGUAGGUAACCUGCCUUGUAGCGGGGGAUAACUAUUGGAAACGAUAGCUAAUACCGCAUAACAAUGGAUGACACAUGUCAUUUAUUUGAAAGGGGCAAUUGCUCCACUACAAGAUGGACCUGCGUUGUAUUAGCUAGUAGGUGAGGUAACGGCUCACCUAGGCGACGAUACAUAGCCGACCUGAGAGGGUGAUCGGCCACACUGGGACUGAGACACGGCCCAGACUCCUACGGGAGGCAGCAGUAGGGAAUCUUCGGCAAUGGGGGCAACCCUGACCGAGCAACGCCGCGUGAGUGAAGAAGGUUUUCGGAUCGUAAAGCUCUGUUGUAAGUCAAGAACGAGUGUGAGAGUGGAAAGUUCACACUGUGACGGUAGCUUACCAGAAAGGGACGGCUAACUACGUGCCAGCAGCCGCGGUAAUACGUAGGUCCCGAGCGUUGUCCGGAUUUAUUGGGCGUAAAGCGAGCGCAGGCGGUUUGAUAAGUCUGAAGUUAAAGGCUGUGGCUCAACCAUAGUUCGCUUUGGAAACUGUCAAACUUGAGUGCAGAAGGGGAGAGUGGAAUUCCAUGUGUAGCGGUGAAAUGCGUAGAUAUAUGGAGGAACACCGGUGGCGAAAGCGGCUCUCUGGUCUGUAACUGACGCUGAGGCUCGAAAGCGUGGGGAGCGAACAGGAUUAGAUACCCUGGUAGUCCACGCCGUAAACGAUGAGUGCUAGGUGUUGGAUCCUUUCCGGGAUUCAGUGCCGCAGCUAACGCAUUAAGCACUCCGCCUGGGGAGUACGACCGCAAGGUUGAAACUCAAAGGAAUUGACGGGGGCCCGCACAAGCGGUGGAGCAUGUGGUUUAAUUCGAAGCAACGCGAAGAACCUUACCAGGUCUUGACAUCCCGAUGCUAUUUCUAGAGAUAGAAAGUUACUUCGGUACAUCGGUGACAGGUGGUGCAUGGUUGUCGUCAGCUCGUGUCGUGAGAUGUUGGGUUAAGUCCCGCAACGAGCGCAACCCCUAUUGUUAGUUGCCAUCAUUCAGUUGGGCACUCUAGCGAGACUGCCGGUAAUAAACCGGAGGAAGGUGGGGAUGACGUCAAAUCAUCAUGCCCCUUAUGACCUGGGCUACACACGUGCUACAAUGGUUGGUACAACGAGUUGCGAGUCGGUGACGGCAAGCUAAUCUCUUAAAGCCAAUCUCGGUUCGGAUUGUAGGCUGCAACUCGCCUACAUGAAGUCGGAAUCGCUAGUAAUCGCGGAUCAGCACGCCGCGGUGAAUACGUUCCCGGGCCU